Molecule: long non-coding RNA, 983 nt
Filed under: Cyanistes caeruleus (blue tit)
Lineage: Eukaryota; Metazoa; Chordata; Aves; Passeriformes; Paridae
Description: lncRNA (ENSCCEG00000011205.1)
Source: RNAcentral
UUCUCAUGGCUCACUCUUUUUGAGAAGGUUUAUGGGCUUUAUGGCUGGUGUGAGACACACGACCCACUCCUGUUCUCUCUAUGGAAUAGUAGGUGCUCGGACAGGUAACUUCUGUUGCUACUGUCUUUUUUAAUUUUAAUUUUUUCACUGUUCUAGGAAUUGUUUUAAACUGAAUACUACAGGAUUUAUAACCAGGUCUUUGCUGCCUUUUCCUUUGUUUUAUUUAUUUACAUCUUUCUUAACCUUUGAGGGUGACUUUUGGAGCAUUCUGAUGGUGGAUCUGCUGUUGGAAGUCUCCAAGCCUCUCAUGUUUCUAAUUUGAGUUGAAAAGCUUUUGUUUUGUUUAUUUGUUUAAAACAAUGACACAAAUUAGCUGCGUGGAUUUCGGGUGGGAUUUGUUGUUGCACUGUUUUGGGUGACUUAUUCUCCCUUUUUCUACAGAAAUGUGUUCUAACAGUUCACACUUUGUUACUGUUCUUUGCAAAACUUUUCAGGAGCCAAAAAAGUCAAACAAUCCAGAGAAAACCCCUUCUCCCCUUUCCGAUGGCAAGAGUGAGAACUUAUGAAAGUCCUUGCGAAUGUUCCUUCCUAAACUUUUCCCCCCAGUAAUGCAAGCCGGUAAAAUGGUAAACGCAGCAGUUUGGUGACAUCCAAAACCGACCUGUUGUCAGAAUAAUAAAACUGGUAGGUGGCAGCAGCAGCAGCAGCAGCAGCAGAAGACACUCAUGACUGUGACCUGAAAAACCUCCAGUACUGGGAGAAAUGGAUUGCAAAAUACUAACUGGAGUAAGGGGAAUGGAGAAGAGAGGCAGAGUCCCUGAACUGUCCCUUUGAAUGGAAUCUAAUGCUUGUGAAAGAUGCUGGAUCACCAGGUGCAGAGAUUGAACUCUACCCACUGGAAAGGUUUUUCUACAGCGACAGGAGGUCUUCCCUUGCAUCUCAUGGGAACACUUAGCGUUUUGAUAAUGCCUCCUUCACAAUGA